AUUGGCAGUUGGCCCUUCAGCUGCUGUACAGCCUCGGUAGGGGCCCAGGGGUAUUGAAUCUGGUUUUGGACCACAGGAGGAGAGUGAAGUGAAGUACAACCAAUAUUGUCAACAGCAAGAUCGUCAAGUGAGUCCUGAUAAUAUAUUCAUGGAAAGAUAUAUUGUUCUGCUUCUAGGUUCUGUAGGGAAGGAGGGCCCAGGGAGAAUGCAUGUUGCAACUCUGCAAGCAGAAUCUACCCCUCUGCCCAUAGAAGCUGGUUGUGGUUGUUCAGUUUUCCUUUAGCUUUUUGGUUUCAUUUCUGCAAGUGGCAUGUUUUGGUUGCUAAGCAAGGUGUUGCAAAAUAUGAGGUGAGAUGUCAAUAUAACUUUAAAAGGGGAGAUGUGGUCAGAAGGGACGUAAUACUCAGAUUUUAAGAAGAAAAAGGAUUUUUGAAUUUGGCAUUAUUAACAGAGAGCUGUCAUGUUCCUUUCCCUCAACAGAGAAAAUAAGUGACCCAAAAUAGAAAAUAAAUGACCCUUUCUGUGAUUAGCAACUCACUGUGUUUGUUUAGUGUCAAGAAUGCUAUUAGUAACUAAUAAAAAUUUAUAAUCAUGAGAUCACCUCCCCAAACAAAAAUGAAUAAACAGAGAAUACAUCUUUAUAGCAAGUCUAAUGACACCUUUGCAGCUAAGGAGUCUGGACCUAGCAGAGUAUCCUGCAUGCCUAGAGCAGGCAUUUCAUAAAUGUUGAAAAAUGAGUGUUGUUUGCUGAAUAUUGAACUUGCCUUUGCAGUCUAUAUCCCUCCCCAAAUAAUCAGCCUGUUGUAUGACCUCCAGAUUUAUAUUAUUGCACCGUCACUUUGGUGCUGAGAUUUGGCAUAAUUACUUUAGGAAAAUAUCCCUUAUUGAUACACACAUUAGUCCACUGUAGUGAGUGGCACCUGGUAUGGGACCCUAAACCUGAUACAUUCUCAAUAAAUGCUUGUUAACCUGAAUAGUCACUAGGAA
RNAcentral lists this long non-coding RNA (987 nucleotides) under Homo sapiens (human). RNAcentral's name for it is "non-protein coding lnc-GTDC1-27:5". The record is from RNAcentral. Lineage: Eukaryota; Metazoa; Chordata; Mammalia; Primates; Hominidae.